UAAUACAUGCAAGUAGAACGCUGAAGAGGAGCUUGCUCUUCUGAAGAGUUGCGAACGGGUGAGUAACGCGUAGGUAACCUGCCUCUUAGCGGGGGAUAACUAUUGGAAACGAUAGCUAAUACCGCAUAAAAGUCGACAUUGCAUGAUGUUGACUUGAAAGGUGCAACUGCAUCACUAAGAGAUGGACCUGCGUUGUAUUAGCUAGUUGGUGAGGUAACGGCUCACCAAGGCGACGAUACAUAGCCGACCUGAGAGGGUGAUCGGCCACACUGGGACUGAGACACGGCCCAGACUCCUACGGGAGGCAGCAGUAGGGAAUCUUCGGCAAUGGGGGCAACCCUGACCGAGCAACGCCGCGUGAGUGAAGAAGGUUUUCGGAUCGUAAAGCUCUGUUGUAAGAGAAGAACGAGUGUGAGAGUGGAAAGUUCACGCUGUGACGGUAUCUUACCAGAAAGUCGUAACAAGGUAC
RNAcentral lists this ribosomal RNA (469 nucleotides) under Streptococcus sp. oral taxon 057. RNAcentral describes it as "bacterial SSU rRNA". It matches the Rfam family "Bacterial small subunit ribosomal RNA", at positions 49 to 504 of the family's 1533-position model. Lineage: Bacteria; Bacillati; Bacillota; Bacilli; Lactobacillales; Streptococcaceae. The record is from RNAcentral.